CAGGAAUAAAGCCAAACCCGUUGCGAAGCGGGGACGGAAAGCUGCGGGUCUCCCCGUCAGGGAAGUCAGCCGGGCUGCUCCU
RNAcentral lists this non-coding RNA (82 nucleotides) under Nitrosospira sp. Nsp14. Its description in RNAcentral is "GEMM cis-regulatory element". It matches the Rfam family "c-di-GMP-I riboswitch aptamer". From Rfam's summary of the family: GEMM was predicted in a large-scale screen for bacterial structured RNA regulatory elements. The record is from RNAcentral. Lineage: Bacteria; Pseudomonadati; Pseudomonadota; Betaproteobacteria; Nitrosomonadales; Nitrosomonadaceae.